This 66-nucleotide transfer RNA is filed under the name Trichogramma japonicum. Its description in RNAcentral is "tRNA-Trp". The record is from RNAcentral. Lineage: Eukaryota; Metazoa; Arthropoda; Insecta; Hymenoptera; Trichogrammatidae.
AAAAUUUUAAGUUAUUAAAACUAUUAGCCUUCAAAGCUUAAAAUAUAAUUCUUUUUAUAAAUUUUA